Molecule: ribosomal RNA, 479 nt
Filed under: uncultured organism
Description: partial 16S ribosomal RNA
Rfam family: Bacterial small subunit ribosomal RNA
Source: RNAcentral
CGUACACUCCUGCGGGAGGCAGCAGUGGGGAAUAUUGCACAAUGGGCGCAAGCCUGAUGCAGCCAUGCCGCGUGUAUGAAGAAGGCCUUCGGGUUGUAAAGUACUUUCAGCGGGGAGGAAGGCGAUAAGGUUAAUAACCUUGUCGAUUGACGUUACCCGCAGAAGAAGCACCGGCUAACUCCGUGCCAGCAGCCGCGGUAAUACGGAGGGUGCAAGCGUUAAUCGGAAUUACUGGGCGUAAAGCGCACGCAGGCGGUCUGUCAAGUCGGAUGUGAAAUCCCCGGGCUCAACCUGGGAACUGCAUUCGAAACUGGCAGGCUAGAGUCUUGUAGAGGGGGGUAGAAUUCCAGGUGUAGCGGUGAAAUGCGUAGAGAUCUGGAGGAAUACCGGUGGCGAAGGCGGCCCCCUGGACAAAGACUGACGCUCAGGUGCGAAAGCGUGGGGAGCAAACAGGAUUAGAUACCCCAGUAGUCCCAUGA